RNAcentral lists this ribosomal RNA (381 nucleotides) under uncultured bacterium. Its description in RNAcentral is "bacterial SSU rRNA". It matches the Rfam family "Bacterial small subunit ribosomal RNA", at positions 524 to 904 of the family's 1533-position model. The record is from RNAcentral.
UACGAAGGGGGCUAGCGUUGCUCGGAAUUACUGGUCGUAAAGGGAGCGUAGGCGGACAUUUAAGUCAGGGGUGAGAUCCCGGGGCUCAACCUCGGAAUUGCCUUUGAUACUGGGUGUCUUGAGUAUGAGAGAGGUGUGUGGAACUCCGAGUGUAGAGGUGAAAUUCGUAGAUAUUCGGAAGAACACCAGUGGCGAAGGCGACACACUGGCUCAUUACUGACGCUGAGGCUCGAAAGCGUGGGGAGCAAACAGGGAUUAGAUACCCUGGUAGUCCACGCCGUAAACGAUGAUUGCUAGUUGUCGGGAUGCAUGCAUUUCGGUGACGCAGCUAACGCAUUAAGCAAUCCGCCUGGGGAGUACGGUCGCAAGAUUAAAACUCAA